AAGUCGUAACAAGGUUUCCGUAGGUGAACCUGCGGAAGGAUCAUUGCUGGAACAUGUCGCGGCCUAGUGCCGCACUGAUCCAUCUCUUUCUCUAGGUGUGGCGGCACCGUAAACGCGUCGUGUGGGUUAGCUUGCUUUGCGUCUUGGUCGCAUUCAAUGCGAACCAUUCUUACAACUUGUAGCACUGGAUCCCUUGGCACGU
This 202-nucleotide unclassified non-coding RNA is filed under the name air metagenome. Its description in RNAcentral is "partial contains small subunit ribosomal RNA, internal transcribed spacer 1, and 5.8S ribosomal RNA". The stretch from base 1 to 46 matches the Rfam family "Eukaryotic small subunit ribosomal RNA", at positions 1786 to 1831 of the family's 1831-position model. The record is from RNAcentral.